RNAcentral lists this long non-coding RNA (531 nucleotides) under Eutrema salsugineum. RNAcentral describes it as "long non-coding RNA (ESAL_LNC001273)". The record is from RNAcentral. Lineage: Eukaryota; Viridiplantae; Streptophyta; Magnoliopsida; Brassicales; Brassicaceae.
CGCGUAACACUUGAUAGUAAUAUUAAUAUUGGGAUAUUUUUUUGAUCCUCUUAAAAAUUUACAAACUAAAAACAAAACAAAAUAUAUGUAUAUAUAGAAUGUGAACAUUGAGUUUUCAAUUUCUAGAGAGAUUAUAAAAUAAACCCCUGUCUAUGAAAUAUGAAACUAAUACAUUUCAUUCACAUAUAAAAUUCUGUAAAACAUUAUUUAUAAGUAAUCCAUCCAUAACUAAACAGAUAGGAGGAUAAAAAAAUGAUAUAUAGAUAUAAUAAAACAUUCGUUUAGCUUGAAGCUCCUCGUUGAAGGAACCAUUUAUUUUCUCAUAAACUUUAUGAGCCAUCGAUUUAGAAAAAUAAAAACUUUUGCCCUGGAGGCGGCUUGACCUUGACAUGAUUCCUGGCCUCGACUUCUGUCACGAUCAUCGUUACCAUCAUCAUUACGAUGAUGAAGGAUGCAAUCAGGGUUUUCUUUUCGAUAGCCAUUGUUUAUUAAGCUCUUAAAUGGUUCUUGUUCUUGUUUUUUGUUUUUUAA